GGCUAUUAACAGACCAGAUGGUUCAGAUUACGAAGAAAUUCCUGAUUACAAUAAUGCCAAUUAUCCCUUAAUCAAACGUAGACUAUUAGAAGUUGAUUGGAAAGCAUUACUAGAGAAAGAAACGAACAUCGAGCUAGCAGUUAACACUUUCUAUAGCAUUAUAUACGACAUCCUCGAUGAAAGCGUCCCAAUACGAAGAAAAAGACGCACAAUUGACAAACACCCGCCCUGGUUUACAAGAGAGGUUAAAAACCUUAAAAAUAGAAAACAAAAAGCUCAUAAAGCUUACAAAAGCAAUAGCCAAAAACUUGAUGAGUAUCUACAAAUAUGCAGUCAGUUAGAAGUCACCAUCCAGUUUGAAUUUGAAAAGUAUCAUAGAAAGGUAGAAUCGGAAAUCAAGAGUGAUUCCAAGCAGUUUUUCAAUU
Molecule: long non-coding RNA, 425 nt
Organism: Culex pipiens pallens (northern house mosquito)
Lineage: Eukaryota; Metazoa; Arthropoda; Insecta; Diptera; Culicidae
Exons: 2
Source: RefSeq, a predicted model, not a curated record